AGACAGAGGGUGCAAGCGUUAAUCGGAAUUACUGGGCGUAAAGCGCGCGUAGGCGGUUUGGUAAGUCGGAUGUGAAAGCCCCGGGCUCAACCUGGGAAUUGCAUUCGAUACUGUCAGGCUAGAGUAUGGUAGAGGGAAGCGGAAUUCCAGGUGUAGCGGUGAAAUGCGUAGAUAUCUGGAGGAACAUCAGUGGCGAAGGCGGCUUCCUGGAUCAAUACUGACGCUGAGGUGCGAAAGCGUGGGGAGCAAACAGGAUUAGAUACCCCGGUAGUCC
This 274-nucleotide ribosomal RNA is filed under the name uncultured bacterium. Its description in RNAcentral is "partial 16S ribosomal RNA". It matches the Rfam family "Bacterial small subunit ribosomal RNA", at positions 523 to 796 of the family's 1533-position model. The record is from RNAcentral.